Podarcis muralis (Common wall lizard) is the source of this 1866-nucleotide non-coding RNA. Lineage: Eukaryota; Metazoa; Chordata; Lepidosauria; Squamata; Lacertidae. The record is from RefSeq and is a predicted model, not a curated record.
ACCACUGCCCUAGAGUUUUUAAAUUGCAUGCCAAGAGUGUAUCAACAUUUGUUUUGAUUUGUGAGUCGUUAUGAAGAUGCUUACUACUCUUCUCUGUUUGCAGGAGGUGCUCUGCUGUUGGGGUGAAAAUGACUUUUGCUGAGGACGAGUUGGAUGGAAUCAUCAAAUACAAGAAGAAGAGGCAACAUUAUUAUGAGGCACAUUUUUACCAAGAAGUGCUCUUUGGAGAAUUUCUAAUCUCUGUAAACUAUAUGUGUACUGGGGCUUCAAAGACCUGUUUUCAGUUGGUUCAGUUUUGAGUCUGGGAUCCUUUAAGUUCAGUUUAAAUAAUCCUCACACUAAUCCUAAAACUUGGAAGUGCUUGUGAAAGAACAUGUAGAAUACAAGGUACAUUUUGUGCUGGCACAAGUUCACUACAACAUUCAUUGCAGGCAAACAUGGCAGUGUUACAUCUGUUUAUUACUGGACCAUGAAGUAGAUGAGCCCCAGAUACAUUAUUUGAGUGUGCUGUGGUAUUGAGUACAUUUUAAUAAAGGUACUCCAUUUUUUUAAAAAAGCGAUUUCAUGUUAAAUCAUUUUAGUAAAUUUGUAUUAUUUCUUAACCUCCCAACACUAGAAUGGCUGCCUGCCUCUUUUGAUCCAUACCAAGGUUGAAUUGUAAUUGUACAGGUAAUUCAGUUGAAAUUUUUAAUAUGCUCAAACACUGAAGUUUUGGGGUUUGGGAAAAUGACUGUAUGUUACAGGUGUGUUACAGAAAUGUGUGGUCUUUAAUUUUCUUGUCUGAAAUUAAUUUUUUCAUGGAAGCCUUCUGGCACUGUUUACCUGGAGAAAUCCCUGCUUUUCUCUGCAACCUUCAGGGCUAGAAAUGAGCUUCUUAUUUUCUCCUGUUUUUCUUCCCCACACUACCACAACUGGGUGUUACAAUAGUUGCCAGACUAUAAACAUCUGGUACUAAUGUAAGUGUAUUCUUGAUUCUAUGACUAUUUUUACGUAUGGUUUUUUUUAAAAAAACAACAACAACACAAUAAUUUAAAAAUCCUUGUCUUGAAAGUGAAGUUUACACCCUUGGUGGGUGGGGGGAGAAUCUACUCUUUAAAAAUUGAGAUUCUUUAAAAAUACAAAAGGUGACAAGCGUAUUUUUGGGAAAACAGCAGCAGUCACAUCAUAACUGGUUACCAGGUAAACCCUAGAUUAACCUCAACUUUGAUUUAACCUUACCUUGAAAUUAUUUACCAAAACAAUACGUCAAGGGAGCAGUCUUCCAAAGAGAGGGUUAACAUACAGCAGCCUUCUCCAGCCUGGAGCCCUCCAGAUUGAUUGAUUUUUUUUAUUUACUUAUUUAUUUACUGGACUACAACUCUAUAAUUAGUUUCAGCCAGCAUUGCCAGUAGUCAGGGGGUUAUUGGUGUUAUGGUACAAAACAUCUGGAAGGUGAAGGGUAAUGAGAGAAGGCAAAGCAGGAUUUAUUUUGUCAGGUAUAGGAGUGCUCAGCUCUGCAGCAUGCAAUACAGUGCUUCUGACUACACACACAAUGCAUUUCCUGGUGUAUAUAUCUAAAUCAGGAGUGUGCUUUGGUGUGGAAGGUAUGGUGACAGGAUCUGGAGCUUCAGCAUCUCAGUUUAGAAAUUGAGGAAAGAGUAUGCCCUUUGGUGGACAUUGUACCCAAGUUUGUGUCUGCUGCUGCAGUGUGACCUAUCCACAGAUGCCUACUUCAUCAGAUGUGUUAAGUGAAACAUUGGAAGGGUGCAAAGAAAGGUAACAGAUUAUGCAAGUGGUAAAAUUUGAGGUGAAUACAAAAGGCCCCCAGACCAACCUGUUGAUGGCACUGACAGCUCUUUAGUUGAAUAAAGGUAUAAGAAAAGUGAA